UAGGGAAUCUUCCGCAAUGGGCGAAAGCCUGACGGAGCAACGCCGCGUGAGUGAUGAAGGUCUUCGGAUCGUAAAACUCUGUUAUUAGGGAAGAACAAAUGUGUAAGUAACUAUGCACGUCUUGACGGUACCUAAUCAGAAAGCCACGGCUAACUACGUGCCAGCAGCCGCGGUAAUACGUAGGUGGCAAGCGUUAUCCGGAAUUAUUUGGCGUAAAGCGCGCGUAGGCGGUUUUUUAAGUCUGAUGUGAAAGCCAACGGCUAAACCGUGGAGGGUAAUUGGAAACUGGAAAACUUGAGUGCAGAAGAGGAAAGUGGAAUUCCAUGUGUAGCGGUGAAAUGCGAAGAGAUAGGGAGGAAAAACAGUGGAGAAGGGGACUUUAUGGUAUGUAACUGACGAUGAUGUGCGAAAGCGUGGGGAUAAAAAAGG
RNAcentral lists this ribosomal RNA (429 nucleotides) under Actinomycetes bacterium. RNAcentral's name for it is "Actinobacteria bacterium partial 16S ribosomal RNA". It matches the Rfam family "Bacterial small subunit ribosomal RNA", at positions 355 to 776 of the family's 1533-position model. The record is from RNAcentral. Lineage: Bacteria; Bacillati; Actinomycetota; Actinomycetes.